CGCACAUUGCGCCCCUUGGUAUUCCGGGGGGCAUGCCUGUUCGAGCGUCAUUACAACCCUCAAGCUCUGCUUGGUCUUGGGCGUCACCGGUCCCCGGUGUGCCCUAAAAUCAGUGGCGGCGCCAUCUGGCUCUAAGCGUAGUACAGACUCUCGCUACAGACGCCCGGUGGAUGCUGGCCAGCAACCCCCAACUUAUCAAGGUUGACCUCGGAUCAGGUAGGGAUACCCGCUGAACUUAA
This 239-nucleotide unclassified non-coding RNA is filed under the name Pezicula corylina. RNAcentral describes it as "partial contains 5.8S ribosomal RNA, internal transcribed spacer 2, and large subunit ribosomal RNA". Lineage: Eukaryota; Fungi; Ascomycota; Leotiomycetes; Helotiales; Dermateaceae. The record is from RNAcentral.